Myotis lucifugus (little brown bat) is the source of this 128-nucleotide small nucleolar RNA. The record is from Ensembl. NCBI's taxonomy places the organism in Eukaryota, Metazoa, Chordata, Mammalia, Chiroptera, Vespertilionidae.
UGUCAAUGAGUUCAGUUCAGGACAGAUUCCCUGUUCUGUUAAUUAAACGUUGGGACUUUGAAACAUGGGCUUGGGAGACAAUUGGCUAGAAACCAUUGCUGUAUUCAUUUAUCUCCCAGCCUAUAAAA